CCUACGGGAGGCAGCAGUGAGGAAUAUUGGUCAAUGGACGAGAGUCUGAACCAGCCAAGUAGCGUGAAGGAUGACUGCCCUAUGGGUUGUAAACUUCUUUUAUAAAGGAAUAAAACGAGGCACGUGUGCCUUUUUGCAUGUACUUUAUGAAUAAGGAUCGGCUAACUCCGUGCCAGCCGCCGCGGUAAUACGGAGGAUCCGAGCGUUAUCCGGAUUUAUUGGGUUUAAAGGGAGCGUAGAUGGGUUGUUAAGUCAGUUGUGAAAGUUUGCGGCUCAACCGUAAAAUUGCAAUUGAUACUGGCAGUCUUGAGUACAGUUGAGGUAGGCGGAAUUCGUGGUGUAGCGGUGAAAUGCUUAGAUAGCACGAAGAACCCCGAUUGCGAAGGCAGCUUACUAAACUGUGACUGACAUUGAUGCUCGAAAGUGUGGGUAUCAAACAGGAUUAGAUACCCGGGUAGUC
This 460-nucleotide ribosomal RNA is filed under the name uncultured bacterium. RNAcentral's name for it is "partial 16S ribosomal RNA". It matches the Rfam family "Bacterial small subunit ribosomal RNA", at positions 338 to 795 of the family's 1533-position model. The record is from RNAcentral.